UACAGAGGGUGCAAGCGUUAAUCGGAAUUACUGGGCGUAAAGCGUGCGCAGACGGUUGCGUAAGUCAGAUGUGAAAGCCCCGGGCUCAACCUGGGAAUUGCAAUGGAUACUGGCAAGCUAGAGUGUGUCAGAGGAUGGUGGAAUUCCCGGUGUAGCGGUGAAAUGCGUAGAGAUCGGGAGGAACAUCAGUGGCGAAGGCGGCCAUCUGGGACAACACUGACGCUGAGGCACGAAAGCGUGGGGAGCAAACAGG
RNAcentral lists this ribosomal RNA (253 nucleotides) under uncultured bacterium. Its description in RNAcentral is "partial 16S ribosomal RNA". It matches the Rfam family "Bacterial small subunit ribosomal RNA", at positions 524 to 776 of the family's 1533-position model. The record is from RNAcentral.